CCCACAUCUUCUGGAUUACCGGUCCAGGGCUCUCGUUGGAAGGGAAGACGUUGGAGAGGCGUGCUAGAUCAGGACCGGCAAUCCGGAAGAUGUUGGUUCGAGUCCUACACCUGGCUAAGAUUUUCAGUGACUUACUUCUUUCAUUAUUCUUAGGCACUUGAAGCUCUGUGUGCUGUCCUUCCUUCUGCGUUCCAGCCUCAGGACAUUAAUUUCCAUCAUGUUGUGAGGGCUGAACAAAAACGAAUUUUCUGCAGUGUGACUCAGCGUCUAACGUGGAACGCAUGAACACAGGUAUAUGAGCCAGCACGAUGAGAGAGACCCACCAGAGCUCUGAGACCCACCGACCACGAGCGCCAGCACGACGUGAUAACUGUCAGCGCCGCGAAGCGACAGUGGCCAUGAGCGGCGUGUACAGACAUGGACAGAUGGAGAGAAGACAGCAGGAAGGAAUGGUGAAAACUGAGGUUGGUAUAGUAUAUGCAAGCUGCCGUAUAUCUGUAGUUGACAGACCAGACCAAACGCAGCAGCGCCGCGGGUGAAGCACCUGAAAAUAUACGGGAUCGUCUGCCAACACAUAUGCUGCUCGGCAUUGUGCCGUACAUCUUGUCCACGCGUCCAGCGAGGAAACACUGCUCGACACCCACUGUCACAAUA
Molecule: long non-coding RNA, 654 nt
Organism: Ornithodoros turicata
Lineage: Eukaryota; Metazoa; Arthropoda; Arachnida; Ixodida; Argasidae
Exons: 3
Source: RefSeq, a predicted model, not a curated record